GGUUCCACAUUUAUGUGGGAUAGUGGCAGACGGGUGAGUAACACGUAGGAAUCUACCCCAAAGUGUGGCAUAGCUUACCGAAAGGUGGGGUAAUACCACAUGUUGUCCUAAUGCAAAUUAGGACCAAAGGGCAUAACUGCUCGCUUUGGGAUGUGCCCGCGUCCUAUCAGCUUGUUGGUGAGGUAACGGCUCACCAAGGCGAUGACGGGUAGGGGGUGUGAGAGCACGGCCCCCCACAAGAGCACUGAGACACGGGCUCUACAUCUACGGAUGGCAGCAACUAGGAAUCUUGCGCAAUGGGCGAAAGCCUGACGCAGCGACGCCGCGUGGAGGAUGAAGGCCUUCGGGUUGUAAACUUCUUUUAAUGGGGAGAAAGAUCUGAUAGUACCCAUCGAAUAAGCACCUGCAAACUACGUGCCAGCAGCCGCGGUAAAACGUAGGGUGCAAGCGUUAUCCGGAAUUACUGGGUGUAAAGAGUAUCGUAGGCGGUUUUGUAAGUUACUUGUCAAAGACCUCUGCUUAACGGAGGAAAGGCAAGUAAUACUGCAGAACUAGUGUUAGGUCGGGGGUGUUGGAAUUCCCGGUGGAGGGGUGAAAUCCGUUGAGAUCGGGAGGAACACCGAGGGCGAAGGCAAAUACCUAGACCUUAACAGACGCUGAUGAACGAAAGCUAGGGUAGCAAACCGGAUUAGAGACCCGGGUAGUCCUAGCCGUAAACGAUGCCUACUAGCUGGUCCCAAUGUUUUGCAUUGGGGCUGGCGUAAGCUAACGCGUUAAGUAAGCCACCUGGGAAGUACGGCCGCAAGGCUAAAACUCAAAGGAAUUGACGGGGGAGCGCACAACCAGUAGAGCAUGUGGUUUAAUUCGAUACAAAGCGUUG
This 880-nucleotide ribosomal RNA is filed under the name uncultured bacterium. RNAcentral's name for it is "bacterial SSU rRNA". It matches the Rfam family "Bacterial small subunit ribosomal RNA", at positions 68 to 966 of the family's 1533-position model. The record is from RNAcentral.